GACCCCAUGGAGCUUUAAACCCNACAACACCCGCCCCCCUCCAAAUCCUAUUAUUUACCCGGUGAUUGUUUGUUUGGUUUUAGGUUGGGGUGACCGCGGAGUAUAAGAUAUCCUCCAUGAAAAAAAGCUAACUGCCCUUAUUAGAGAAAGACACUUCCAAAAAAUAAUAAAUUAAUUUUAAAUGAUCCGACAUUCGAUCAACGAACCAAGUUACCCUGGGGAUAACAGCGCAAUCCGUCCCGAGAGCCCCUAUCGACAGGCGGGUUUACGACCUCGAUGUUGGAUCAGGGUAUCCCAGUGGUGCAGCAGCUACUAAAGGUUCGUUUGUUCAACGAUUAA
Molecule: ribosomal RNA, 339 nt
Filed under: Boophis madagascariensis (Madagascar bright-eyed frog)
Lineage: Eukaryota; Metazoa; Chordata; Amphibia; Anura; Mantellidae
Description: partial 16S ribosomal RNA
Rfam family: Bacterial large subunit ribosomal RNA
Source: RNAcentral